This 497-nucleotide ribosomal RNA is filed under the name uncultured bacterium. RNAcentral describes it as "partial 16S ribosomal RNA". It matches the Rfam family "Bacterial small subunit ribosomal RNA", at positions 28 to 507 of the family's 1533-position model. The record is from RNAcentral.
GAUGAACGCUGGCGGCGUGCCUAAUACAUGCAAGUCGAGCGAACAGACGAGGAGCUUGCUCCUCUGACGUUAGCGGCGGACGGGUGAGUAACACGUGGAUAACCUACCUAUAAGACUGGGAUAACUUCGGGAAACCGGAGCUAAUACCGGAUAAUAUAUUGAACCGCAUGGUUCAAUAGUGAAAGACGGUUUUGCUGUCACUUAUAGAUGGAUCCGCGCCGCAUUAGCUAGUUGGUAAGGUAACGGCUUACCAAGGCGACGAUGCGUAGCCGACCUGAGAGGGUGAUCGCCCACACUGUAACUGAGACACGGUCCAGACUCCUACGGGAGGCAGCAGUAGGGAAUCUUCCGCGAUGGGCGAAAGCCUGACGGAGCAACGCCGCGUGAGUGAUGAAGGUCUUCGGAUCGUAAAACUCUGUUAUUAGGGAAGAACAAAUGUGUAAGUAACUAUGCACGUCUUGACGGUACCUAAUCAGAAAGCCACGGCUAACUACGUG